UACAGAGGGUGCGAGCGUUAAUCGGAAUUACUGGGCGUAAAGCGUGCGCAGACGGUCACGUAAGUCGGGUGUGAAAGCCCCGGGCUCAACCUGGGAAUUGCAUUCGAGACUGCGUGGCUAGGGUGCGGAAGAGGGAAGCGGAAUUUCCGGUGUAGCGGUGAAAUGCGUAGAUAUCGGAAGGAACACCAGUGGCGAAAGCGGCUUCCUGGUCCAGCACCGACGUCAGGCACGAAGCGUGGGGAGCAACAGG
RNAcentral lists this ribosomal RNA (250 nucleotides) under uncultured bacterium. RNAcentral describes it as "partial 16S ribosomal RNA". It matches the Rfam family "Bacterial small subunit ribosomal RNA", at positions 524 to 775 of the family's 1533-position model. The record is from RNAcentral.